CCAAGGGUGUGGAGCAAUAUCUCCUCAAACCUGACACGAUCUACUAAAUAAAUGAUUAAGUACGGAAGAAAAUGUGCUAUUGCUUUUCCAUCAAUUUAAUUACACAUUCUAGAGGAGUCUAUUUAUGAGGAAACUAAGCAUGCUAUUAUUUCGUAUUGAUUGUGAACUACCACUAACACAUUCUCCUCCUCUUUACACAGACUGCUGCCACAUCAAUUAUCGCCAAAACGCAAGUUCUCCUUCAAUUGAUCCUUAGAAAUACACACAGGUGCUGGUGAAGUGGUAGUGAAACAACACACCAGAAACCCCUGGCUUGAUAGAGCUGAUUCCUGAGUUUGUAGAAUAAGAUGAAAGAUUAAACAUCAGAUAAAAGUUCCACAGGGUUCGGGAGACUUCGGGAAUCUCACAACCAUGACUGAAGGGGAGGCAAACAAGUCCUUCACAUGGCAGCAACAAAGAGAAGUGCCAAGCAAAAGGCAGAAAAGCACCUUGUGAAAUCAUCGGAUCUCUUGAGAACCUACUUACUUACUGUCAAGAGAGCAGCAUCACGAUGGCUGACUAGAAGCAUUUCAAGCAUUCCUCCUCCACUUGGCAGAACCAAAAUAGUAUGUGGACAAUCACACUUUGAAUACAUUACUCAGGAAGGAACACAGGAGUUCAACAGAAAGUUGAAGGGAAGUCUUCAAAUCUGGGAGGAAAAAAGAAAAUGGGCAGCCUGAGUGGCCAAGAUCAGCCAAGACCUGGGUGCAAAUCCUCAAUAUGGAAAAGGGUGAGUGAAUGUGCUUCCGUGGUCCACUUUCCUACUGUGGAAUUGUGCGAGUUGAGGAACAAGGGGAGUACCUAACCCUCCCAAUCUCUGAAUCUAGCUUGAGAAGCAGCCAGAAUACUGUGAGAAAGAAUUGCUUCAGGAGUGUUGCAUGCCCUUUUAUAGACCUGGGAUGCUAUUCUUGAGCCCACCUCCAAGCCAACUGUGCAUGGUCCUUGAGAGUAGCAGCAUUGGUCCUGGCUGGUAGGGAUGCUUAGAGGCAAUUAUGGAAAUGGGACUUUACUGCAGGAUGGGUUACCACAAGUAGUUCUGAGAAUUGAGUGUGGAGUGAGAUCUAGCCACUGGUGGAGCUGGGCACCCUGAGGAUUGCCUUGUCCUGUCCUGACAAGCAUGGUGCCUGUACCUACCACUAGGAGGCCUGGGUUCAAGGUUGCCUGGUUCAGCUCUGCCAAACUUCUCCCCACUCUCUGAGACAGUGUGGGAUCCAUGCUCAUGGGUGUUCCACAAAUCAAUCCACCACGUGGGACACCCAAGUACUUCCCUCAGGGAACAUAGGUCAGAUUUAUACAUCCUACCACUACCCCCACAGCUGUAUUAUUAUUAUUGUUUUUUUACCUGUCAGUGCCACCUACUGGCCUAGAGGAUAGCCCAUGUAUUUCAUUACCAUUAUAACAACUGCUAGCACAAAAACACUCAGGAACUACAAAAGGAUCUCAUGACCACUGCUACUGCCAUCACCCACAACACCCCAGGUUCCAAGGAUGCCAAAAGCCCACUCACCUCCUUAGUGCACCACUGCUACUACUGGCAUCUGAGAAAGCCACUCAGAAGCCCAGGAACCAGCCUGCCGGGAACUGCCACCUCAGGCGCCAGCAUACAUGACCCCAGAUCACAAUGAUAAACAUGCUGAGCCCACCACUACUAUGAAUGAAACCUGAAGAGCUUUUAGGCAUUCUAGUCCUCAGCACAACUUCCCCACAUCCCCCACCCAUGGCUGCACCCUAACUACUGAGCAACCCACAGAUACCAAGGCUAGGUAUAGCCAAAGAAAUCUUUUUAUUAUU
This is a long non-coding RNA of Papio anubis (olive baboon), 1830 nucleotides long. The record is from Ensembl. NCBI's taxonomy places the organism in Eukaryota, Metazoa, Chordata, Mammalia, Primates, Cercopithecidae.